UUCCGGUUGAUCCUGCCGGAGGCCAUUGCUAUCGGAGUCCGAUUUAGCCAUGCUAGUCGUGCGAGUUCAGACUCGCGGCACCGAGCUCAGUAACACGUGGCCAAACUACCCUACAGAGACGGACACCCUCGGGAAACUGAGGUUAACCCGUCAUACCGAUCUCAGGCUUGAAUCGCAGAGAUCACAAAAUGCCCCGGCGCUGUAGGAUGUGGCUGCGGUUGAUUAGGUAGACGGUGGGGUAACGGCCCACCGUGCCCAUAAUCAGUACAGGUUGUGANAGCAAGAACCUGGAGACGGAAUCUGAGACAAGAUUCCGGGCCCUACAGGGCGCANCAGGCGCGAAACUUUACACUGCACGCACGUGCGAUAAGGGGACUCCGAGUGCGAGGGCAUAUCGUCCUCGCUUUUGUGUACCGUAGGGCGGUACACGAACAAGAGCUGGGCAAGACCGGUGCCAGCCGCCGCGGUAAUACCGGCAGCUCAAGUGAUGGCCGAUCUUAUUGGGCCUAAAGCGUCCGUAGCUGGCCUCGAAAGUCCGUCGGGAAAUCCACGCGCCCACGAGUGGGCGUCCGACGGAAAACUGCACAGCUUGGGACCGGAAGGCUCGAAGGGUACGUUCGGGGUAGGAGUGAAAUCCCAUAAUCCCGCACGGACCACCGAUGGCGAAAGCACUUCGAGAAAACGGAUUCGACAGUGAGGGACGAAAGCCAGGGUCUCCAACCGGAUUAGAUACCCGGGUAGUCCUGGCCGUAAACAAUGUUCGCUAGGUAUGACACAGACUACGCGUCUCUGUUGUGCCGUAGGGAAGCCGAGAAGCGAACCGCCUGGGAAGUACGUCUGCAAGGAUGAAACUUAAAGGAAUUGGCGGGGGAGCACUACAACCGGAGGAGCCUGCGGUUUAAUUGGACUCAACGCCGGACAUCUCACCAGCCCCGACAUCAGUAAUGACAGUCAUGUGACGACAUCCACUCGAGCUGAUGAGAGGAGGUGCAUGGCCGCCGUCAGCUCGUACCGUGAGGCAUCCUGUUAAGUCAGGCAACGAGCGAGAUCCACGUUCCUAAUUGCCAGCACCAUCGCACGAUGGGUGGGUACAUUAGGAGGACUGCCAGUGUUAAACUGGAGGAAGGAACGGGCAACGGUAGGUCAGUAUGCCCCGAAUGAGCUGGGCAACACGCGGGCUACAAUGGCUAAGACAAUGGGUCGCUAUCUCGACAGAGAACGCUAAUCUCGAAACUUAGUCGUAGUUCGGAUUGAGGGCUGAAACUCGCCCUCAUGAAGCUGGAUUCGGUAGUAGCCGCCUUUCAGUAGAAGGCGACGAAUACGUCCCUGCUCCUUGCACACACCGCCCGUCAAAGCACCCGAGUGAGGUCCGGAUGAGGCUAUCACUGAUAGUCGAAUCUGGGCUUCGCAAGGGGGCUUAAGUCGUAACAAGGUAACC
This 1438-nucleotide ribosomal RNA is filed under the name uncultured haloarchaeon. Its description in RNAcentral is "bacterial SSU rRNA". It matches the Rfam family "Archaeal small subunit ribosomal RNA". Lineage: Archaea; Methanobacteriati; Methanobacteriota; Halobacteria; Halobacteriales; Halobacteriaceae. The record is from RNAcentral.